GAUGAACGCUGGCGGCGUGCCUAAUACAUGCAAGUCGAGCGAACGGACGAGAAGCUUGCUUCUCUGAUGUUAGCGGCGGACGGGUGAGUAACACGUGGAUAACCUACCUAUAAGACUGGGAUAACUUCGGGAAACCGUAGCUAAUACCUGAUAAUAUUUUGAACCGCAUGGUUCAAAAGUGAAAGACGGUCUUGCUGUCACUUAUAGAUGGAUCCGCGCUGCAUUAGCUAGUUGGUAAGGUAACGGCUUACCAAGGCAACGAUGCAUAGCCGACCUGAGAGGGUGAUCGGCCACACUGGAACUGAGACACGGUCCAGACUCCUACGGGAGGCAGCAGUAGGGAAUCUUCCGCAAUGGGCGAAAGCCUGACGGAGCAACGCCGCGUGAGUGAUGAAGGUCUUCGGAUCGUAAAACUCUGUUAUUAGGGAAGAACAUAUGUGUAAGUAACUGUGCACAUCUUGACGGUACCUAAUCAGAAAGCCACGGCUAACUACGUG
RNAcentral lists this ribosomal RNA (497 nucleotides) under uncultured bacterium. Its description in RNAcentral is "partial 16S ribosomal RNA". It matches the Rfam family "Bacterial small subunit ribosomal RNA", at positions 28 to 507 of the family's 1533-position model. The record is from RNAcentral.